This is a non-coding RNA of Schistosoma mansoni, 45 nucleotides long. The record is from Rfam. Lineage: Eukaryota; Metazoa; Platyhelminthes; Trematoda; Strigeidida; Schistosomatidae.
AUCCAACUGACGAGUCCGAAAUAGGACGAAACUUGUGUCUUGGAU